GUUAUUUUGAACUAGGAAUGACUCUGGGGUGUGACAGAACUUUCUAUCCUCACUGCAAUAGUAUCUCUAAAAUACUGAACAAAUUUUGUUCUGAGCUCCUAGUUUGGGGAUGAAUUGAAUGGGAAGAAGGAUUGAGGCAUGAAACAAAUGAAUAUUUCUUUUUCUGUUUUUCAGAAUUUUAACCAGAUUAUAAAAAGCAGUGUCUUUAAUCUGAGAGGCCAUCAUUUUCAGGAUGACAAGAUAUGACAAAAUAGAAUAAAACUGAUCUGUGAGUUCAAUGAAGAAGACUGAGAAGACCAACUUCCUUUGCAGCUUUGUGUGUCACUGGAUACAGAAGAAGUGUACAAGGCAAUAUCUGGGUUGUGCCUCCAAAGGGAAUUGUGUACCCUCUCCUUUCCAAUUCCUUCUUGUUGGACAAGAUGGUAGACAUUGUGAGUUGGAAGACAUGCACUGAAGCCUGGACUCUUGACAACUUUGAGGAGAAAAGCUACAAUAUCAGCUUGGAGUUUUAUGGAAAAGAAAUCAAUUUUGAGCUGCCUAAUUUACUUUUAGCACUCUGUGUCACAACAUCUAAGUCUAUCUAAGAUGUCAGGAGUUCCUUGGCUUUUGGUAUAUUGUAGUGUUUACCUUACCUUCCUUAUAAAGAC
This 647-nucleotide long non-coding RNA is filed under the name Macaca nemestrina (pig-tailed macaque). Its description in RNAcentral is "lncRNA (ENSMNEG00000045736.1)". Lineage: Eukaryota; Metazoa; Chordata; Mammalia; Primates; Cercopithecidae. The record is from RNAcentral.